AAUAUGUGAAAGGUAAUUCUCUUUAUCUAUUAUGACUUUGGAUCUCCAUGACAUUACAUGUUCUGUGCAGAAGAAUAUAUCAGAGAUUUACAUGAAAUUGUUAAAUAGUGACAUCAAUGUGUUAUUCAACCAAUAUGAUUAAAUCUGAUGAAAAAUGAUAUUGAUCAGCAGAUGCGUCCUCCAUAAACAAAAUUGACCAUGUGAAUUGAGCAA
Molecule: unclassified non-coding RNA, 213 nt
Filed under: Hevea brasiliensis (rubber tree)
Lineage: Eukaryota; Viridiplantae; Streptophyta; Magnoliopsida; Malpighiales; Euphorbiaceae
Source: RNAcentral